GACGAACGCUGGCGGCGUGCUUAACACAUGCAAGUCGAACGGAAAGGCCCCUUUGGGGGUACUCGAGUGGCGCACGGGUGAGUAACACGUGAGUAACCUGCCCUUGACUUCGGGAUAACUUCAGGAAACUGGGGCUAAUACCGGAUAGGAAUCCUUGCUGCAUGGUGGGGGUUGGAAAGCUUCGGCGGUUUUGGAUGGACUCGCGGCUUAUCAGCUUGUUGGUGGGGUAGUGGCUUACCAAGGCUUUGACGGGUAGCCGGCCUGAGAGGCGACCGGCCACAUUGGGACUGAGAUACGGCCCAGACUCCUACGGGAGGCAGCAGUGGGGAAUAUUGCACAAUGGGCGGAAGCCUGAUGCAGCAACGCCGCGUGCGGGAUGACGGCCUUCGGGUUGUAAACCGCUUUCAGCAGGGGCGAAGCUUGUGGUGACGGUACCUGCAGAAGAAGCACCGGCUAACUACGUG
This 464-nucleotide ribosomal RNA is filed under the name uncultured bacterium. Its description in RNAcentral is "partial 16S ribosomal RNA". It matches the Rfam family "Bacterial small subunit ribosomal RNA", at positions 28 to 507 of the family's 1533-position model. The record is from RNAcentral.